This 820-nucleotide ribosomal RNA is filed under the name Calocalanus pavo. RNAcentral describes it as "partial large subunit ribosomal RNA". It matches the Rfam family "Eukaryotic large subunit ribosomal RNA", at positions 118 to 838 of the family's 3401-position model. The record is from RNAcentral. Lineage: Eukaryota; Metazoa; Arthropoda; Copepoda; Calanoida; Calocalanidae.
CUGCCAGUCAUCUUGGCUGUGUGGAAUGUUGGCGUUUGGGAGAGUCUUCUCAGCGCUUGGCGGACCAGUCAAAGUCCAACUUGACAGUGGCCAGAGCCCAUAGAGGGUGAUAGGCCCGUAAGGCGGUCUGCUAGUGCUGGCGACUUUUCCCUCGAGUCGGGUUGCUUGGGAGUGCAGCCCAAAGUGUGAGGUAAACUCCUCAUAAGCCUAAAUAUGACCCUGAGACCGAUAGCAAACAAGUACGGUGACGGAAGAUUGAAAAGAACUUUGAAGAGAGAGUUCAAUAGUACAUGAAACUGUGUGGUGGUAAACGGAGGGAUUCUUGAAGUGUCUGUGGAGAACUCAGCCUUGGCGCUGGGCCGUCCGGUUCUGUCUGAUCAGCAAUGACAGCAGGGCUGGUUGAGCUUGGUGCACGGGUGCAUUUUCUCCGCAGUUGACGGCAGGAACCGUUUGGGGUCGACCACUGGCGUUGGGUGAAGUUAUAGGCCUAGCCUGUAGCCCCGGCUGUCCUGGCUUGACUCCAGACGGGUAUUUGGAGGGGACUCGUAUAGCGAGCAGUGCUCUGCUGCAGUCUCCAUCUCUCUGCCGAGUAGGUCAGCGGUCCCUCCGACCCGUCUUGAAACACGGACCAAGGAGUCUAACAUGUAUGCGAGCCAUUGGGUUGACUAAACCUAAAGGCGCAGUGAAAGCAAAGAGUAGCUUGUCUGCUCGAGGGAGGAUCCUGUCAAACGGCGCACUCCCGUGAUUUCCAAUCGACCUCGCUUCGUUGGGAAUACACAGAGCAUAAAUGUUGGGACCCGAAAGAUGGUGAACUAUGCCU